This 870-nucleotide ribosomal RNA is filed under the name Wolbachia pipientis. RNAcentral's name for it is "bacterial SSU rRNA". It matches the Rfam family "Bacterial small subunit ribosomal RNA", at positions 98 to 1007 of the family's 1533-position model. The record is from RNAcentral. Lineage: Bacteria; Pseudomonadati; Pseudomonadota; Alphaproteobacteria; Rickettsiales; Anaplasmataceae.
GCAGACGGGUGAGUAAUGUAUAGGAAUCUACCUAGUAGUACGGAAUAAUUGUUGGAAACGACAACUAAUACCGUAUACGCCCUACGGGGGAAAAAUUUAUUGCUAUUAGAUGAGCCUAUAUUAGAUUAGCUAGUUGGUGGGGUAAUAGCCUACCAAGGUAAUGAUCUAUAGCUGAUCUGAGAGGAUGAUCAGCCACACUGGAACUGAGAUACGGUCCAGACUCCUACGGGAGGCAGCAGUGGGGAAUAUUGGACAAUGGGCGAAAGCCUGAUCCAGCCAUGCCGCAGAGUGAAGAAGGCCUUUGGGUUGUAAAGCUCUUUUAGUGAGGAAGAUAAUGACGGUACUCACAGAAGAAGUCCUGGCUAACUCCGUGCCAGCAGCCGCGGUAAUACGGAGAGGGCUAGCGUUAUUCGGAAUUAUUGGGCGUAAAGGGCGCGUAGGCUGGUUAAUAAGUUAAAAGUGAAAUCCCGAGGCUUAACCUUGGAAUUGCUUUUAAAACUAUUAAUCUAGAGAUUGAAAGAGGAUAGGGGAAUUCCUGAUGUAGAGGUAAAAUUCGUAAAUAUUAGGAGGAACACCAGUGGCGAAGGCGUCUAUCUGGUUCAAAUCUGACGCUGAAGCGCGAAGGCGUGGGGAGCAAACAGGAUUAGAUACCCUGGUAGUCCACGCUGUAAACGAUGAAUGUUAAAUAUGGGGAGUUUACUUUCUGUAUUACAGCUAACGCGUUAAACAUUCCGCCUGGGGACUACGGUCGCAAGAUUAAAACUCAAAGGAAUUGACGGGGACCCGCACAAGCGGUGGAGCAUGUGGUUAAUUCGAUGCAACGCGAAAACCAACGUCCUUCUACGACAUGAAAAUAAAACCGUAUGGGCG